AUAAUUUUGAGGACUCAUUGUUGAUCUUCGAGUCAUUUACAAUCUUCUUCAAUAUAUAGAAAAACAAAAAAAGCACAAUAAAUCUGAUCUCCAAUAGAUAUUAACUAUUGGCUAAUCAAAAGACAAGAGGGAAUAAACUACGCCAUUGCGCUCAUGUUAACCAAUGAUAGAAACGAAGCAAUAGAGAAUUGUUAUAACUGUAUUUUAUACGGUACAAGUAAAAAAUAAAAGUAGAAAUUAAAAUAUAA
Apis laboriosa (Himalayan honeybee) is the source of this 248-nucleotide long non-coding RNA. RefSeq lists it as uncharacterized. The transcript is spliced from 2 exons. The record is from RefSeq and is a predicted model, not a curated record. NCBI's taxonomy places the organism in Eukaryota, Metazoa, Arthropoda, Insecta, Hymenoptera, Apidae.